UUAACACAUUUAUAUAAAACAUAGAAUUUCACAGUUGCCAAAUUGUAAACAAUCAAAUUUAUAUAUAUAAAGGAGUGAAAUACAAGCAAUUACAUUUACAUUUUUUUUAAAACUUUUUAAAAUUUUUACUUCAUAAAUUUAAGUAAUUGUUCUUAGAUAUCUAAUACACAUCUAAAUGAACUACAAAGGAUUAUUUGCUAUUUCCUUAGUCAUGAUGGCAUUAUUAAGUGUUAUGGUUGAAGCUGAUAUUGAGGCGCAUCCUGCAGAACCUGAGGAGGGAGAAGGAAGGCACGGAUUUAUUGAAAGAAUGUGCCCUCGUGUGAGAUGCUCUUAUUACUGUACUAGAUAUAGGCGUAGAAACGGAUGCUAUUAUUGUGCUUGCUGGGACUGAGACAAAAUUUUUUAAUAAAUUAUUUUAAUAUAAAAUUUACAUUUUAAAAAAACAUGAUUAAACCAAUUUUUUCUAUCAAUUUUAUUUCUAUUAUAUAUUACUUGAAAAAAAAAAUUAUGCGAGAGCAUUAAACAGAAAUUUUUUGUGAAAGUCUAAAUUAUUUAGAUAGCAAUUACAUAAUUUUAAAUAAACCUUAACAAAUAUUUGUA
Molecule: long non-coding RNA, 600 nt
Organism: Gordionus sp. m RMFG-2023
Lineage: Eukaryota; Metazoa; Nematomorpha; Gordioida; Chordodea; Parachordodidae
Exons: 3
Source: RefSeq, a predicted model, not a curated record